GCCCAGCUGGCUCAGUCGGUAGAGCAUGAGACUCUUAAAUUCAGGGUUGUAGGUUUGAGCCCCAUGUCGGCUG
Molecule: non-coding RNA, 73 nt
Organism: Pangasius djambal
Lineage: Eukaryota; Metazoa; Chordata; Actinopteri; Siluriformes; Pangasiidae
Source: the annotation of a GenBank genome assembly